GAGGAGGAUUUGUCCCCCAUCACGGUGAUCCAGCAGCACCUCCAGGGCAGAGCUGAGCUGGUGAAGGAGAGGGCCAAACAGCUCAGGUUCCUUCACGCUGUGCCAAGUCUGUGUUUCUCGGCACAGAAAUGGGCGAGACACCCUGGAGCCCCACAUCUGCAAAGCGGCCCCUGUGGAGAGCAUUGCGUCACAGUCGCGCACACAGAGGAAUCUAAGCCACAGGAAAUAAAGAAAACCAUUUGGAAAGAAGCAUUGGUGUUAUCCCUCACAAGUGAC
Long non-coding RNA from Mauremys mutica (yellowpond turtle), 276 nucleotides. RefSeq lists it as uncharacterized. Lineage: Eukaryota; Metazoa; Chordata; Testudines; Geoemydidae. The record is from RefSeq and is a predicted model, not a curated record. The transcript is spliced from 3 exons.